Molecule: ribosomal RNA, 300 nt
Filed under: uncultured bacterium
Lineage: Bacteria
Description: bacterial SSU rRNA
Rfam family: Bacterial small subunit ribosomal RNA (bases 52-300)
Source: RNAcentral
GUAGUGCGAGUGCAGGGCGGCGGGGGGAGACAGAGGGGGACACGGGGUUUGGGAUUGACUGGGGGUAAAGCGAGUGUAGGCGGGAGGGAAUGUCGGGUGUGAAAUCCCGUGGCUCAACCACGGAAGUGCACCCGAAACUGCGCAGCGUGAGUCUCAGAGAGGAAGGCGGAAUGCUUGGUGUAGAGGUGAAAUUCGUAGAUAUCAAGCGGAACACCGGUGGCGAAGGCGGCCUUCUGGACGAUGACUGACGCUGAGACGCGAAAGCGUGGGGAGCAAACAGGAUUAGAUUCCCCUGUAGUC